UGGGGAAUUUUGGACAAUGGGGGAAACCCUGAUCCAGCCAUCCCGCGUGUGCGAUGAAGGCCUUCGGGUUGUAAAGCACUUUUGGCAGGAAAGAAACGUCGCGGGUUAAUACCCCGCGAAACUGACGGUACCUGCAGAAUAAGCACCGGCUAACUACGUGCCAGCAGCCGCGGUAAUACGUAGGGUGCAAGCGUUAAUCGGAAUUACUGGGCGUAAAGCGUGCGCAGGCGGUUCGGAAAGAAAGAUGUGAAAUCCCAGAGCUUAACUUUUGGAACUGCAUUUUUAAACUACCGGGCUAGAGUGUGUCAGAGGGAGGUGGAAUUCCGCGUGUAGCAGUGAAAUGCGUAGAUAUGCGGAGGAACACCGAUGGCGAAGGCAGCCUCCUGGGAUAACACUGACGCUCAUGCACGAAAGCGUGGGGAGCAAAACAGGAUUAGAUACCCUGGUAGUCCACGCCCUAAACGAUGUCAACUAGCUGUUGGGGGCCUUCGGGCCUUGGUAGCGCAGCUAACGCGUGAAGUUGACCGCCUGGGGAGUACGGUCGCAAGAUUAAAAACUCAAAUGAAUU
This 568-nucleotide ribosomal RNA is filed under the name uncultured bacterium. RNAcentral's name for it is "partial 16S ribosomal RNA". It matches the Rfam family "Bacterial small subunit ribosomal RNA", at positions 355 to 911 of the family's 1533-position model. The record is from RNAcentral.